AGGUAUUUGAGGUUCUUGGUCUUCUUAUAUGGCUUGGGCAAUCAUCACCUUAUAAGCUAACUUUUGGGGUUGAAUUAGGCCCAAGGUCCAUUCUUUUCAUCUCCCAAAACUCUCUACAGAGAGCUUCCACAACAAAUAGAGAAAGAGGUGGACUGCGACACUUUAAAAUUUAUUGCAUCAUGACUUACAAUCUUUUGGUUGUGAAUGCCAUAUUUGCUUUUGACGGAGUUUAGCUGGAGCUCCUUGAAUAUGGCUGAGAUUGCAUUCUAGCUAAAAGUGUACGUCCCGUGAGUUUACUUUUGCGCUCUUUUCUCUUCUUUGAUUUUCUCACCUUCCGUUAUUUUUAAAUUAUUAUCUCAUCACAGGUCGAUUAAACUGUAUAAUUGGGGUAAAAUAGUUGGUCAAUGGUUUCUCUCUGUUGUAUAUACUUCACAAUCGCUAGAAUUAAAUUUUCUGAGAUGACUUUACCUGGGGUUUCGGCUGGUUUCUGAAUUUAGUUAACUUUUCCUUUUUCCUACUGUGGUUGUGAUAACGAAAAUUGAAUUUAUUAUUUGCACAUACCUAGAUUUUCUGCUUUAGAGUUCCUUUUCCCGUGGCAAGUUCUGUUGGAUUAGUAUUUUUUCAACUGGGUAAAGAAGUUGGUCUAUUCGGGUACGGCGUGGAAUUGACCUUGGCUAACAGAAAAUUCGGAGGAAUCCAACACUAAAGGGACAUAUAGAACUCUUAAAAGAGUGUGCGGAGGUGGACACUUAUUUUUUAUUUUGCUGUGCAAAAUUAAAGGAACAAGUAGUAAUUAGUUUUUAUUUUCACUCAGUCUCCUCUAAGUACUUUCCUGCAAAGCUAGCAACGACUAAUUUAUUUUGAUUUGUGCUGCUUUGUUCAUUUGAGUUUUAUACAUUAUUUGUAAUAACGACCCGAUCGGUCCUUUUACUGUUUAGAACUUCGUUUUCUUAAAUAAAAUUUCCCGCGCUUUCCUUAGCUUAAUCAUGACUUGCGGGGGCGAUUAGUUUUAGAAGAGUUUUGAGUGAAAAUGAAACCAGUUAUUUUCUAAAGGAUUUCUUAAAAUGCCAAGUUUGACUUCGGUCAACUUUCUUCGAAAACGACCCCGGAUUCAUGAUUUGAUGGUCCCGGGAGAUUCGUGAGAAGAUAUGGGACCUGAGCGUAUGCUCGGAAUUGAAUUCCGAGGUCCCUAGCUCGAGUAAUGAAUUUUUAUGUAAAAUUGUCAAAUCGAAGUUUUAAUGAAUUGGAGAAUCUAAGUAUUCAUCAAAAUCAUAGGUAUCGUGUUUGGAUUUCAGUUCCGAAACUUGGCACAAGUCCGAAAUAUCAGUUAAGACCUACCCGUAAAAUUUGGUGUCAAUCCGAGUAGAUUAAGCGCAUUUCGACCCAUUGAAAGGAAAUUAAGAACUUGAAGUUCAAUGAAUUGAUUCAAUUAGUUUUGGGGUUUGAUUCCUUGAUUUAGCGUUGUUUUGGGUGUUUCGAGGGUUCGACUAGGUCCGCCUCGUGAUUUCAGAAUUGUCGGUAUGUACGGGCGGGGGUCGGGAGCCCCGAACGUCAAAUGGGAUUCAAUUAGUUUUGGGGUUUGAUUCCUUGAUUUAGCGUUGUUUUGGGUGUUUCGAGGGUUCGACUAGGUCCGCCUCGUGAUUUCAGAAUUGUCGGUAUGUACGGGCGGGGUUCGGGAGCCCCGAACGUCAAAUGGUCGAGGUUCGAGCGAAGUUGGAAUUUGAAAAGGAACCAACUUCUGCUGCUUCUGUUAAAACCAAUUCUGCGGCUCCUGGACCGCAGAAGCGAUCCUUUUAUCGCAGAAGCGGCCAGGACGGCCCAGGGAAAAACCGCAAUAGCGGUCCAGAAGCCGCAGAAGCGAUCGAUCCCUCUUUACCCAAAACCGCAUAUGCGGUCCAUUUUUGGCAGGUGCUGGACCGCAGAAGCAGUCCCAAAACCGCAGAAGCGGAAAUCAUUGGGGCAGUGAGCAAAUUUAAUACAGGCUCAAGUGCAUUUAUCUCCCAUUUUCUUCAUACUUGGGCGAUUUUGAAGCUUCCAAUUAGGGAAUUUCAACAUAGCAUUUGAGGUAAGUAAUUUCCAGUCACCCUUAGUGUAAAUACAUGUAUAAUGGGUAGAUUAAACACUAGAAAUGUAUUAAAAUCAAAGGAUUAGAGCUAGACCUAGGGUUUUAAAUAAAAUUAAGAUUUAACCAUAUAAUUAGCUAUGUAAUGAACUAAAAAUCACAUAUUAAUAAAUCCUUUAGGCUAUGGAGAAUAAUUUCCUUCGAAAAAUCUCGGAAUCCGGGCACGUGGGCCAGGGAUCGGAAUUUAGGAAACUUGCGGGAAAGGUUGGAGAUUCACUUAACUAGUUAGAAUUCAACCUUGUGAGCACUUAUUGACUAGUCCUUGCCUUAUUUAAACUAGUUGGUGUUUGUUCGGCUUCGAAUUGAGCUUGGAGCCUAAUCUUGUGAUUGAAAGAGCGCUUCGGAGUGAGGUGAGUCUCUUUUCUAACCUUGUAAGAGGGAAUUGUCCCCAUAGGACUAAACAAUUGAAUAAAAUUUGCUUUGUAUGCGGGGGGCUAUGUACAUACUAGGUGAAGAGAGUCCGUGCGUAGCACUUAUAUGCUAAGUCCGGGUAGUUUAGGGCCAUGAGCAUGCUUAUUAUGAUAUCUUUGAAAUUGAUGCCACUCUUGGGCCUUGUAUGGAUAAAUUGUGAACUUAUUGACGUGAGAAUUUCUAAAAGGAUUGCAUAUUACUUUUCCUAAAGCGUUAAAUGAGAAUCUGCCUUAUUGGGUUAGAUGUUUCCCGGAAAUUAUUAAUUGAUUAUCUGAGCAUGUAUCUCGAUAUGUACCUGCGUCGUAUGAUUGGUUCGCGAGUGGGGGUAUUUGUUUACUUUAUGUUGACCGCAUCGCAAGGAUGAUUUGCGAGCGGAGGUAAUAGAUGCAUCUAUGAUUCGAGCCGUUCGACCCUCGGCAGUGCACAUUUAUUUUUCUGUUGGAUUGGGCCGUACGCUCCUUGGUGGAUAUUUGCGCAUGAUUUAGUUUUCUACUUGUGGAUUAUACUCCGAAUUUGUUGUUUAAAUAUAUAUGACUGAGCACCCUUCAUGGAAAGGUAAAAGGAAGAACUUCUAUUUCAUACUUCGUAUUUGAUGACUUAAGAUACAACUGCUUAUUGUGAAUCAAAACUCAUAUAUUAUUUGACCUUAGUAAGUAUCAAGUCGACCUCUCGUCUCUACUUCUUCGAGAUUAGACGGGAUACAUAUUGGGUACAUGUUGUUUAUAUACUCAUGCUACGCUUCUGUACUUAAUGUACAGGAUCUGAAGCAGGUGGAUGUGGUUACCAUUCGGGCGCGCAUUAGUGAGCAUUUGGACUUCUACGGUGAGCUGCCUCCUUUCAUUGACGAUCUGCAGCCGAAGAAGUCAUCUCUGUAUUUUCAUUUUUGUCUAUUCUGAUUCAGACAAUAGGAUAGAAUAUUAUUCUUUUGUAUAUUCUAUACUAGUUGCCCGUAGCCGUGACACCAAGUUCUGACACACACUUUAGUAGACUAGUUUUAGAAUUUGUAAUUAUUAUGUUAUUUACUUUUAUUACUACAUUGGGUUCCUG
RNAcentral lists this long non-coding RNA (3580 nucleotides) under Nicotiana benthamiana. RNAcentral's name for it is "long non-coding RNA (NBEN_LNC003611)". The record is from RNAcentral. Lineage: Eukaryota; Viridiplantae; Streptophyta; Magnoliopsida; Solanales; Solanaceae.